AAUCUUCCGCAAUGGACGCAAGUCUGACGGAGCAACGCCGCGUGAGUGAGGAAGGUCUNCGGAUCNUNAAACUCUGUUGUUAGAGNCGAACACGUACCGUUUGAAUAAGGCGGUACCUUGACGGUAUCUAACGAGAAAGCCCCGGCUAACUACGUGCCAGCAGCCGCGGUAAUACGUAGGGGGCAAGCGUUGUCCGGAAUUAUUGGGCGUAAAGCGCGCGCAGGCGGUCUCUUAAGUCUGAUGUGAAAGCCCACGGCUCAACCGUGGAGGGUCAUUGGAAACUGGGAGACUUGAGUGUAGGAGAGGAAAGUGGAAUUCCACGUGUAGCGGUGAAAUGCGUAGAUAUUAGGAGGAACACCAGUGGCGAAGGCGGCCUGCUGGACAUUAACUGACGCUGAGGCGCGAAAGCGUGGGGAGCAAACAGG
RNAcentral lists this ribosomal RNA (425 nucleotides) under uncultured bacterium. RNAcentral describes it as "partial 16S ribosomal RNA". It matches the Rfam family "Bacterial small subunit ribosomal RNA", at positions 360 to 776 of the family's 1533-position model. The record is from RNAcentral.